ACUUGCAAAAAAAAAACAAUUUAAUAAUAAUAAAGACAUGAGAGUUAAAUAUUUAGCAGAAGAUGUUUUAUUGAUAAUAUAGUUAUUAAAAGGGGGAGUAUUACAGUACACACUCUUCAACUCAACUCAUGUAACGACAACAUACUUGAGCACCACACUGGAAUUAUCAUAAACCAAGCCAAAUUAAGGCAUGCACACUCAUUUAUCCGGCCGGAUCAAGAAAACAAAACAAACUUUAUGGCAUAAGCCAUGCACACACUAUGGGAUGCGAUUUUACUUAAUUAGCAAGGAGGUAAGCCUCAACGGCCUUGAAUAUGAGCCCUGCCUUCUCGGUGGCAUCCUUAAUGUUCUCUUCUGGGAUCACGGCGUCGCCUAUGGUGUUGUAAAUGGUGGUGUUCUUAACAAUGGACCCUCCAUCCGGAGUAGGCACAAUAGUGAAAUGAUUAACGAUGGAUUCGAUUAUGUCCAACAGGAUAUCGCCUCCGAUGAUGGAGUAAGUGUAGGUCAACGCGUCCUUGUCAAUUGCAUCUACCCGUUGCUUCAUGGUGUUGAAUUGGCUGGCUGUAGAAUCAGACAUUCNNNNNNNNNNNNNNNNNNNNNNNNNNNNNNNNNNNNNNNNNNNNNNNNNNNNNNNNNNNNNNNNNNNNNNNNNNNNNNNNNNNNNNNNNNNNNNNNNNNNUAUUACAUACAUAUAUACUAUUUCAUUAAUUAACACCAAUUUAUAUAUAAGAGAGUAGGUACUGACUGAUAUAUUCACAGUUAACAUCCAUUAUUAUUAUUGUUUCAAUUCAGACGGUCUUCUCGAUCUUCCAUUUUAAAUAGAAUAGUACUGGUCAUUUCAUCUUCUUGAUCACUAGAAUGCAUAUAUGAUAGGCAAAUUAAAUGUGGUAAAUUAAUUAAGUACCUUCGCCGAGAGUGACGAGCUUGACGGUUCCAACACCACCAUCACCCUCAAUAAUUUCACUACUCUUGAUAGCUUGAGGAAAAGCCUUGGGGAGAAUGUCGUCAAUGUCAAGCAGAAGUCCCGCGUACAAUUUCUGUGCUGGGACAGUGGAAGUAGCCUCAACUUCGGUCUUUUGGACACCCAUGGAUAUAUGUUUUAGUUUGGAGAUUGAACUAGAGUGUAUAUAUAUAAAACACAAUUAAGAAGAUGAAGAGUACUAGUAUAGUAAGGUUUUGGUGUGAGGAAAUGAGAGAACUAGAGCUCCUAUUUAUACUACUACUACAUGGGACUACUGUGGGAGCGAGGUCUUAAUAAAUCGUACUAGUAGUAGUAAUUAGCUAUAUAGGUGUGAAGACGUACUAGAAAACUGCCAACCAGAUGAUAAUCUGGAGUCAAUAAUAAUUUUAAUGUUUGCCUAUCAAAGUUGAACAGAUCAAAGUCUUGGUUAAGUAGGUAGAUCAGGCUUUCAGCGUUAAUGGGAAGGUGUGCCUGCCCAUACCUAUUCCUAUUCCCUAGUAUUCCCUAUCAUCAUAUCGAUCAGAUAAAUGUAGUAACUUUCUUUAAAAAAUGAUCAAAAGGAAGAUUUUUAUUUUAACUUUCUAACUGCUAAAGCAUUUGUAGAAUGAUCAUUAUCAUUAAACCAUUUCUAAAAAAAUUAUAAUUAAUUUUACAUGGCAAAUUGUUCAUUUUUGUCGGGAUCAAUACAUUUUAACAUAUCAUCAUUUACAGCUAGCUAGCUAGCAGCAUAUCAGAUAAAUUUUUUAGUAAAAUAUUGAUAGCAUGCAUUAAUAAUUGAGAGUUUCUGUCCUACUCGCUCAUUUGGAAAUGGGACGCGCGGGACGUUAGAAAAUGGAGUUGAAAGAGACUUAAAUUUAAUUCCAUGUAGAUGAUCGAUCGAUCUGAUCUGGUAAGUGGUAAACUUACUUCACUAGAAGGGAAUAGCCGCCCUUCUUGACACGAAGAAAGAUAGUAGUAAUGUUUGGUGGGGCCACCUUCUAGAGUAGACAGGUCGAUUGGGAGUCACAGGACAUGACAUGAUGCAAACCAAAAUUUAAAUUAAUUACUACUAUUAUUAACAAUAUUUCGAUCCGCAGAGAUUUGGCCAAUGCAUCAAGUCAUGUGCAUGGUUCAAUUCAAUAAUCGAUUUGUUUAUUAGAGAUCUAGAUCUACCUUUUUCAUCUUUUGGCUACUAGUGACCAAGUCACUAUUAACUUUCGCAAUGAAUAUAUAUAUGAGACUAAUAUUGAUAAUGUUAUCGAUUUAACAUUAUUUUUACAGCAGGUUGUGAAUGUUUAUUUUAAGAUCGAACAGUUUAAUAGAGUUCUGGGACAAAUGAUCAAAAUAUCAUUUUUUAUAAAAGUUUUCGUCCACAAUAUUAAACUGCGGACGUUAUGUAUGACCAAAUGGUGAACUAAAAACGACACCGUUUGUAAAUAAGUCUCGUUCGCACUAUUAAACUGAGGAUGCCAUUUUUUAUUUUUUUAGUUUUCAAGGUUCGAUCAAUUCCUAAGAUUGCAAUCAUUGGUGUUUGUCUGGAAUAACGGAUACUAGGAAUGUAUUGUUAUAUGCUUCUCUGUUGAAGAUUGGAAAAAGAUCGUGGACCCGAAAAGAAAUUUCAAGAGAUUGCAUAUUUGCAUUCAACAUGCUGACACAUGUUUUCACAAAGGGUGAUGGUUUAAGUUGACCUCGAUGACGGAUAUAUCAUUAAUAUGAGACUGUAAAAUUCCAAAAGGUAUCAUUGACAUUCAACAUGAUCGGAGCCUUGAAAAUUAAAAAAAAAUUGAAUUUGAUAUUCAUAGUUAAAUACUGCAAACACCCUUAUUAGUUGGUCAUUUGACCAUACCUAGCGUCAACAGUAUUAAAUUGCAGACGAGAGACUUGUAAAGGAAAGAUAUUUUGGUCUUUUGUUCUGUCCGCAGUAUUAAACUACGAAAUACUGAAAACUAAACUACGGACGAACACUUUAUUUAACCGUUCGAUUUUCAGAUGGAGGGUCACAAUGUGUUGUAAGGGUAACCUUAACCCGUAAGUAACCUUAAGUUUAUCAUAAAUAUGUAUAUUCCAUCGAUAUUUUGCUGACCAUAUAUGUAAUUAAUAACAAAGGGAAAAAAAUACACUUCCAUCCAAAAAAAAAAUAGAAGAAAGAAAGUCAGUUUAGAAGGAUUGCAUCAAAAUUGAUUUUGUUGGCACUAUUUUUAUGAGAAGGAUAUUGUAUCUUCUGUUGAAUUUCUGAAUGAUAUAUUUGCUUAAGGAUUUAGCUCUAUAUACAAUUUUCUUUGUUUCGACUCAAAUUUUAAGUGUGUUAUAGACAAAUAAUAUUUGAAAACCUUGACAUACCUUUUUUUUUUUUUUGGAAAGAUCAAAUCUCAGUCUCAAUGCCAAAUGGAGGUUUUUUUUCUUCAUGUUGAAAUAGGAGGAGAUCAAGAAAAAAUUGUUAUUCUGUGCUCUGUACCGUAGCAAAUAGCAAGGUUCGUAGAACGUCAAAUUUAUUUAUGCAGCCUUAAAAAAGAAAAAAAAAACAAUAAACAUCAAUAACAUUAUAGCUGAAUUCCUCGUAUCAUUUGGUUCACUUCUUCUGGAAUGACAAUGCCGACUACAUGAUGGGAUGGCCCCACUAUAUUAAUUUGGGUCCAAUAUUCCUAUAUAUUCACUAUCACUAUCUCUUCUUAAUUAUUGGUUCUGUAUCGUUUUUGUUUUGCUACAUAUUUUUUUUGUAUGAUCAACAACUUUUACUCUAUUUUCUUAUAUACUUUCUCCUUUAUCCGUUACUUAAUAUAAAUCGUUUUAGAAUUGUGCACAAGUAUUAAAAAAUAAUUGUAAAAUAUUAAAUAUAAUAUUAAUUGUCUAUUAUAUUGAAAAAAUAUAGUGUUAUUUAUUAGAUAAAAAACACCGAAAGAACCAAAGUUAUAUUAAUUAAUAUUUGGUGUAAUAUUAAAAACUAAGCAAUUAAUGCUUACUUAAAAUUCUCAAACUAUAUCAAGAAACAAAAAUAUUUCUCUAAAAUGACUUAUAUUAAAGAACCCGGAGUAUAUUCUACCUUUUUGGUAAGAAAAAAUAUUGGAGCUUUUCACAUUUGCAGAGAGGGUCACAUUUGCAGAGAGGGUGUUGAUGAUGAUACACUGAAUGUCCUGGAGUAAAAUUAGUUUAAAGUUUUAAGAGUUGAAUUUUUAUUAUUGCUCAAGUAACAUUUUCUUUUCCAAAGGGCUGAAUAUGCCCUUUCUCAAAUCUUUAUUAAUUUCGAGUGAUCAUCAUAUAUCUCAUGAAGCAAUACUUUUUCUAAAAGAAGCUUAGAAAGAAGCGAUUAAUUUUAAAAUAAAUAGAAAAUUAUAGUAUUUUUCGGGAUGUUACAUUUAGUAUUAACUAAUAGUUGACGCACCAAGAUUGAAUAAAAUCAUUGCAAUUAACAGAUGCCUUUUUAUUGAUAUAGUUAUAUAUCAAAGGAGACUGCAACACAUAACUCGUAAUAAUAACAACAAAUUAACUUGAACCAUAUAUAUAUAUAUAUAUAUAUAUAUAUAUAUAUAUAUAUAUAUAUAUAUUGGUACUGGAGAGGCAACACAAUAUAUCAUGUUCUUCAGCCGAAAGAAAAGCAUAUAAAUUAAUUAAGCCUCAUUCAUAUGUAGAAUAUGGAAUGAGUUAAUUAACUUAGUAGGCACCAGGAUUUGCAAGGAGGUAGGUCUCAACAGCCUUGAAUAUGAGUCCAGACUUCUCAGUAGCUUCCUUAAUAUUCUCUUCUGGGAUCACGUCGUCGCCUAUGGGGUUAUAUAUGGUUGUAUUUUUGACAAUGCACCCUUCUUCAGUAGGCACCACCGUGAAUUGAUUAGUGAUGGACUCGAGUUUUCCCAACAAAAUAUCACCAUCGAUAAUGGUGUAGCUGUAGGUCAAUGCAUCCUUGUCGAUUCCAUCAACCCUUUGUUUCAAGCUGUUGAAUUGGCUCA
This 4881-nucleotide long non-coding RNA is filed under the name Panax ginseng (ginseng). RNAcentral describes it as "long non-coding RNA (PGIN_LNC017686)". The record is from RNAcentral. Lineage: Eukaryota; Viridiplantae; Streptophyta; Magnoliopsida; Apiales; Araliaceae.